GUGGAGCAGAACUGGUACUCGCUCACUUAGCGAUUUACACAUCGACAAGACCUAUAUACUGAAAUGAAAGGAUUUGGACUGUUUCUUCUAAUAUGCAGUGUACCAUUGAGUUGGGUUCAUGGACACGAAAGUGGAUAUACGAGCAGUUCAGAAGAUAGCCAUGUGAAUAGUCACGAAAGUGGAGAUAUGCAUAUUCACGAAAGUGGAGAUACGCAUAGUCACGAAAGUGGAGAUACGCAUAGUCACGAAAGUGGACAUACGCAUAGUCACGAAAGUGGACAUACGCAUAGUCACGAAAGUGGACAUACGCAUAGUCACGAAAGUGGACACAAAUCUCGACACAGCCAUAGUUCAUUUUCAUCAGAAGAAAUACAAUGCACAGGUUAGU
Long non-coding RNA from Saccoglossus kowalevskii, 388 nucleotides. The record is from RefSeq and is a predicted model, not a curated record. Lineage: Eukaryota; Metazoa; Hemichordata; Enteropneusta; Harrimaniidae.